AGUGAACGCUGGCGGUAGGCCUAACACAUGCAAGUCGAACGGCAGCACAGUAAGAGCUUGCUCUUACGGGUGGCGAGUGGCGGACGGGUGAGGAAUACAUCGGAAUCUACUUUUUCGUGGGGGACAACGUAGGGAAACUUACGCUACUACCGAAUACGACCUACGGGUGAAAGCAGGGGAUCUUCGGACCUUGCGCGAUUGAAUGAGCCGAUGUCGGAUUAGCUAGUUGGCGGGGUAAAGGCCCACCAAGGCGACGAUCCGUAGCUGGUCUGAGAGGAUGAUCAGCCACACUGGAACUGAGACACGGUCCAGACUCCUACGGGAGGCAGCAGUAGGGAAUAUUGGACAAUGGGCGCAAGCCUGAUCCAGCCAUACCGCGUGGGUGAAGAAGGCCUUCGGGUUGUAAAGCCCUUUUGUUGGGAAAGAAAAGCAGCAGGUUAAUACCCCGCUGUUCUGACGGUACCCAAAGAAUAAGCACCGGCUAACUUCGUG
This 492-nucleotide ribosomal RNA is filed under the name uncultured bacterium. Its description in RNAcentral is "partial 16S ribosomal RNA". It matches the Rfam family "Bacterial small subunit ribosomal RNA", at positions 29 to 507 of the family's 1533-position model. The record is from RNAcentral.